RNAcentral lists this ribosomal RNA (528 nucleotides) under uncultured bacterium. RNAcentral's name for it is "partial 16S ribosomal RNA". It matches the Rfam family "Bacterial small subunit ribosomal RNA", at positions 366 to 903 of the family's 1533-position model. The record is from RNAcentral.
GGGUACCUGGGCGCAAGAUGAUCCAGCGAUGCCCGCGUGGGGGAUGACGGCCUUCGGGUUGUAAUCUCNUUUCGNCAGGGACCAAGCGCANGUGACNGUACCUGNANAAGAAGCACCGGNUAANUACGUGCCNGCNGCCGCGGUAAUACGUAGGGUGCGAGCGUUGUCCGGAAUUACUGGGCGUAAAGAGCUCGUAGGUGGUUUGUCGCGUCGUUUGUGNAAUNUUUUNGCUUAACUGNGGGGNUGCAGGCGAUACGGGCAUAACUUGAGUGCUGUAGGGGAGACUGGAAUUCCUGGUGUAGCGGUGGAAUGCGCAGAUAUCAGGAGGAACACCGAUGGCGAAGGCAGGUCUCUGGGCAGUAACUGACGCUGAGGAGCGAAAGCAUGGGUAGCGAACAGGAUUAGAUACCCUGGUAGUCCAUGCCGUAAACGGUGGGCGCUAGGUGUGAGUCCCUUCCACGGGGUUCGUGCCNUAGCUAACGCAUUAAGNGCCCCGCCUGGGGAGUACCGCCGCAAGGNUAAAACUCA